GACGAACGCUGGCGGCGUGCUUAACGCAUGCAAGUCGAACGAGAAUCUACUGAAAGAGUUUUCGGACAAUGGAAGUAGAGGAAAGUGGUGGACGGGUGAGUAACGCGUGAGGAACCUGCCUUGAAGAGGGGGACAACAGUUGGAAACGACUGCUAAUACCGCAUGACGCAUAGAGGUCGCAUGAUCUUUAUGCCAAAGAUUUAUCGCUUCAAGAUGGCCUCGCGUCUGAUUAGCUGGUUGGCGGGGUAACGGCCCACCAAGGCGACGAUCAGUAGCCGGACUGAGAGGUUGAACGGCCACAUUGGGACUGAGAUACGGCCCAGACUCCUACGGGAGGCAGCAGUGGGGAAUAUUGGGCAAUGGGCGCAAGCCUGACCCAGCAACGCCGCGUGAAGGAAGAAGGCUUUCGGGUUGUAAACUUCUUUUAAGAGGGAAGAGCAGAAGACGGUACCUCUAGAAUAAGCCACGGCUAACUACGUGCCAGCCGCCGCCGUAA
This 496-nucleotide ribosomal RNA is filed under the name uncultured bacterium. RNAcentral's name for it is "partial 16S ribosomal RNA". It matches the Rfam family "Bacterial small subunit ribosomal RNA", at positions 28 to 523 of the family's 1533-position model. The record is from RNAcentral.